This 73-nucleotide transfer RNA is filed under the name Ralstonia pseudosolanacearum GMI1000. RNAcentral describes it as "Ralstonia solanacearum GMI1000 tRNA". It matches the Rfam family "tRNA". From Rfam's summary of the family: Transfer RNA (tRNA) molecules are approximately 80 nucleotides in length. Their secondary structure includes four short double-helical elements and three loops (D, anti-codon, and T loops). Further hydrogen bonds mediate the characteristic L-shaped molecular structure. tRNAs have two regions of fundamental functional importance: the anti-codon, which is responsible for specific mRNA codon recognition, and the 3' end, to which the tRNAs corresponding amino acid is attached (by aminoacyl-tRNA synthetases). tRNAs cope with the degeneracy of the genetic code in two manners: having more than one tRNA (with a specific anti-codon) for a particular amino acid; and 'wobble' base-pairing, i.e. permitting non-standard base-pairing at the 3rd anti-codon position. The record is from Rfam by way of RNAcentral. Lineage: Bacteria; Pseudomonadati; Pseudomonadota; Betaproteobacteria; Burkholderiales; Burkholderiaceae. RNAcentral also lists the same sequence under 3 other names.
GGGCCUGUAGCUCAGGGGUUAGAGCAGACGACUCAUAAUCGUUUGGUCGUGGGUUCGAAACCCACCGGGCCCA